Molecule: long non-coding RNA, 588 nt
Organism: Magnolia sinica
Lineage: Eukaryota; Viridiplantae; Streptophyta; Magnoliopsida; Magnoliales; Magnoliaceae
Exons: 3
Source: RefSeq, a predicted model, not a curated record
CUGAUGAUGAUGAGGAAAUCUCCGAUGAUGAAGUUGGAGCUACUCCUAAGAAGGCUGAGAAGGGUAAGAAGAGACCUACAGAAUCUGCAACCAAGACACCAGCUCCAGAAAAGAAGGCCAAGCUUGUUACACCUAUUGGUCAAAAGACCGGUGGUGCUGGUGGAAAGAAGGGCGUGGGCAUAUAGCAACUCCUUGCCCUUCAAAACAGGCUGGAAAGACACCUGCUAACAACAACAAGUCAAAGCAGCAAAUUCCUAAAUCUGGUGGUCAAGUCAGUUGCAAGACAUGUAGCAAGUAUGCUCUCUCUCUCUCUCUCUCUCUCUCUCUCUCUCUCUCUCUCUCUCUCGUUUUCCUUCUACCAGUUAACUGAUGUUUAGUUUUCUAUUGGUUGUCAACAGGAAAUUUGUAAAUUUUGAUUUUAAUGCAUGCUGUUUCCUGGUGGCCUGUAAUAUCGAUAGGCCACAUACCAAAUAAAUCAAUGUUAGCGGAUUAUCCUACAAAAAAUGGAUAGAGCAGUAGUCCAUAUUGAACCAUUAAAACUCACAAGAGGAUGAAUGGUCAUGUUAGUUUUACUGCUGCCCUAUCCAU